UCUAACCAUCUUUGACAGAUAAAACAUAAAUAACCAAAUACAAAUUCCAACAAACCAUAAUACAUAAAUCAUACGGGAAUAGACGAGACAAGAAGGUUAGGCAUAGUUUUUCAAGACCCAGUUAAAAAUGCAUGUUCCAUGGAAGACAUGUUGGCAGCAUUGCAACCCAAGAAGAUCAUUGACCGGAGUGUCAGUGAUAUCGUCUAAGCAAAUACAACAUUGGUGGAUUUUCACGCAAUCUUAAUUGACCCACCUAUUAUCC
Molecule: long non-coding RNA, 262 nt
Filed under: Brassica rapa (field mustard)
Lineage: Eukaryota; Viridiplantae; Streptophyta; Magnoliopsida; Brassicales; Brassicaceae
Description: long non-coding RNA (BRAP_LNC003597)
Source: RNAcentral